Molecule: small nuclear RNA, 124 nt
Organism: Solanum stenotomum
Lineage: Eukaryota; Viridiplantae; Streptophyta; Magnoliopsida; Solanales; Solanaceae
Source: RefSeq, a predicted model, not a curated record
GUGCUCGUAAAAAGGGGACCUAGUUUCAUCUCCCUCUACAAGGAUGGAAUCAACCUUCGCGUUUUAGCUGUUACCACACAUCCAUUUAAGGAAUUCCAAUUCAGUGGGACAAGCAAAGAAUGUG